RNAcentral lists this ribosomal RNA (460 nucleotides) under uncultured bacterium. Its description in RNAcentral is "partial 16S ribosomal RNA". It matches the Rfam family "Bacterial small subunit ribosomal RNA", at positions 338 to 795 of the family's 1533-position model. The record is from RNAcentral.
CCUACGGGAGGCAGCAGUGAGGAAUAUUGGUCAAUGGACGAGAGUCUGAACCAGCCAAGUAGCGUGAAGGAUGACUGCCCUAUGGGUUGUAAACUUCUUUUAUAUGGGAAUAAAAUGUUCCACGUGUGGGAUUUUGUAUGUACCAUAUGCAUAAGGAUCGGCUAACUCCGUGCCAGCAGCCGCGGUAAUACGGAGGAUCCGAGCGUUAUCCGGAUUUAUUGGGUUUAAAGGGUGCGUAGGUGGGUUGUUAAGUCAGUUGUGAAAGUUUGGGGCUUAACCGUAAAAUUGCAGUUGAAACUGGCAGUCUUGAGUACAGUAGAGGUGGGCGGAAUUCGUGGUGUAGCGGUGAAAUGCUUAGAUAUCACGAAGAACUCCGAUUGCGAAGGCAGUUCACUGGACUGCAACUGACACUGAGGCUCGAAAGUGUGGGUAUCAAACAGGAUUAGAUACCCCAGUAGUC